Molecule: ribosomal RNA, 301 nt
Filed under: uncultured bacterium
Lineage: Bacteria
Description: partial 16S ribosomal RNA
Rfam family: Bacterial small subunit ribosomal RNA
Source: RNAcentral
CAGUCGCCGCGGUAAUACGAAGGGGGCUAGCGUUGUUCGGAAUUACUGGGCGUAAAGCGCACGUAGGCGGACUUUUAAGUCAGGGGUGAAAUCCCGGGGCUCAACCUCGGAACUGCCUUUGAUACUGGAAGUCUUGAGUAUGGAAGAGGUUAGUGGAAUUGCGAGUGUAGAGGUGAAAUUCGUAGAUAUUCGCAGGAACACCAGUGGCGAAGGCGGCUAACUGGUCCAUAACUGACGCUGAGGUGCGAAAGCGUGGGGAGCAAACAGGAUUAGAGACCCCCGUAGUCCCUGUCUCUUAUAC